CGGAGCUUGCUCCGGUGAAAGUGGCGCACGGGUGAGUAACGCGUGGAUAAUCUGCCCUGGUAUCUGGGAUAACAUCUCGAAAGGGGUGCUAAUACCGGAUAAGCCCACGGGAUCCUCGGAUUCUGCGGGAAAAGGUGGCCUCUAUUUAUAAGCUACCGUAUCAGGAUGAGUCCGCGUACCAUUAGCUAGUUGGUGGGGUAAUGGCCCACCAAGGCUACGAUGGUUAGCUGGUCUGGGAGGAUGAUCAGCCACACUGGAACUGARACACGGUCCAGACUCCUACGGGAGGCAGCAGUGGGGAAUUUUGCGCAAUGGGCGAAAGCCUGACGCAGCGAUGCCGCGUGAGUGAAGAAGGCCUUCGGGUCGUAAAGCUCUGUCGCAGGGAAAGAAAUGUGCGGGUGCCAAUACCACCUGUACUUGACGGUACCCUGAAAGGAAGCACCGGCUAACUCCGUGCCAGCAGCCGCGGUAAUAC
RNAcentral lists this ribosomal RNA (475 nucleotides) under uncultured Geobacter sp. RNAcentral's name for it is "bacterial SSU rRNA". It matches the Rfam family "Bacterial small subunit ribosomal RNA", at positions 74 to 526 of the family's 1533-position model. Lineage: Bacteria; Pseudomonadati; Thermodesulfobacteriota; Desulfuromonadia; Geobacterales; Geobacteraceae. RNAcentral also lists the same sequence under 1 other name. The record is from RNAcentral.